UACGUAGGUGGCAAGCGUUGUCCGGAAUUACUGGGUGUAAAGGGCGUGUAGGCGGGAUAGCAAGUCAGAUGUGAAAUUCCGGGGCUCAACCCCGGCGCUGCAUCUGAAACUGUUAUUCUUGAGUGUCGGAGAGGAAAGUGGAAUUCCCAGUGUAGCGGUGAAAUGCGUAGAUAUUGGGAGGAACACCAGUGGCGAAGGCGGCUUUCUGGACGAUAACUGACGCUGAGGCGCGAAAGAGUGGGGAGCAAACAGG
RNAcentral lists this ribosomal RNA (253 nucleotides) under uncultured bacterium. Its description in RNAcentral is "partial 16S ribosomal RNA". It matches the Rfam family "Bacterial small subunit ribosomal RNA", at positions 524 to 776 of the family's 1533-position model. The record is from RNAcentral.